Molecule: ribosomal RNA, 113 nt
Filed under: Panthera tigris altaica (Amur tiger)
Lineage: Eukaryota; Metazoa; Chordata; Mammalia; Carnivora; Felidae
Source: RNAcentral
GAAAUUUGGUAGAGACUGUUGAAGCCACCUGGCCCCAGCAGACCCCAGAAGGCAGCCACAUUCGCUGGUGCUGGGGCAAGAUUGUUGAGGGUGAAGCCUGGUGUCAGAUGUGU